UUAUAUUUACUGCAUUUUAUUUAUAUUAUUCAUGAAAUUGGAAUAAUGGAAUAUAGCUCUUGUACAGGGUUUAUCAUCAACUAGGAAUUCUAUCUUGAUGCAUUUGUUACACAGGGUAGUGGUGUUACAACUAUUGGUUUUCAACUCAGGCUCAAUAAGGCAAAAUGUGGAACCAUUGUUCUAGUAAGUUUAAUCAUCUAUAAAAUUUAAGUGUAAUUAUAUAUAAAAAUGAAUAUCACUCUCAUUUCAGUCCCUCAAUUUUUGAUGUUACUAAGUUAGUUCCUAAUAAAUAUAAAUUACCAUUUUGGUCCAAUUUUUUUCAAAAUAGAACCACAUCAACCCUUCAUUCUUCACCCGUUUGUUAACGUUGAUGGAGUUGAUCAAGGGCACAUUAAGUGCUGACAUGACCACAUGUGGUGAUUCCAUGACCACAUGUGGUGAUUCCAUGCUCGAAAUUUAUCGUGCUCCUACGUAUCCCUAGAUCCAAUAGAGAAAUCAAGACUACAUAGUUCUGGUUUGAAAAUGAUAGAUUAGUUCGGUUGACUUUUGUUGAUUUGGAAAAUAUCGAUGAAUUUAGUGGAGUUGAUUUUAAUUGAUUUUGAAAUAUUCAUAAUAUAUCAUUGUUUUAAUUCAAUGGAACUAAUAGCUUAGAGACGGUGUCUUCCCAUUUUUAGAGAAGUUUGAGACGACUCGAACUAUGACCUUACUAUAAAAAAUCCGCAAAAUUCAGUAAGUGAUAACAUAGUUUUGAAUUAUUUUAUAUGAAAU
This 768-nucleotide long non-coding RNA is filed under the name Lupinus angustifolius (narrow-leaved blue lupine). Its description in RNAcentral is "long non-coding RNA (LANG_LNC003086)". Lineage: Eukaryota; Viridiplantae; Streptophyta; Magnoliopsida; Fabales; Fabaceae. The record is from RNAcentral.